Molecule: ribosomal RNA, 750 nt
Filed under: uncultured archaeon
Lineage: Archaea
Description: bacterial SSU rRNA
Rfam family: Archaeal small subunit ribosomal RNA
Source: RNAcentral
CUGGAAUGGCUUAUGGUCUAAACAGUUUACUGCCAUGGGAUGGGACUGCGGCCUAUCAGCUUGUUGGUGAGGUAAUGGCCCACCAAGGCUAUAACAGGUACGGGCUCUGAGAGGAGAAGCCCGGAGAUGGGUACUGAGACACGGACCCAGGCCCUAUGGGGCGCAGCAGGCGAGAAACCUUAGCAAUGUGCGAAAGCACGACUGGGUCAGUCCGAGUGAUUCCUGAUAAAGGAGUCUUUUAUCUGUCCUAAAAGCACAGGUGAAUAAGGGGUGGGCAAGUCUGGUGUCAGCCGCCGCGGUAAUACCAGCACCUCGAGUGGUCAGGACGUUUAUUGGGCCUAAAGCAUCCGUAGCCGGCUUUGCAAGUCUUCGGUUAAAUCCACCUGCUCAACAGAUGGGCUGCUGGAGAUACUACAAAGCUAGGGAGUGGGAGAGGCAGACGGUAUUCAGUGGGUAGGGGUAAAAUCCUCUGAUCCAUCGAGGACCACCAGUGGCGAAGGCGGUCUGCCAGAACACGUUCGACGGUGAGGGAUGAAAGCUGGGGGAGCAAACCGGAUUAGAUACCCGGGUAGUCCCAGCUGUAAACGAUGCAAACUCGGUGAUGCAUUGGCUUAUGGCCAAUGCAGUGCCGCAGGGAAGCCGUUAAGUUUGCCGCCUGGGAAGUACGGACGCAAGUCUGAAACUUAAAGGAAUUGGCGGGGGAGCACCACAAGGGGUGAAGCCUGCGGUUCAAUUGGACUCAACGCCGGU